Molecule: ribosomal RNA, 855 nt
Filed under: Fastosarion brazieri
Lineage: Eukaryota; Metazoa; Mollusca; Gastropoda; Stylommatophora; Helicarionidae
Description: partial 16S large subunit ribosomal RNA
Source: RNAcentral
UAUAUUAUACUGUAAAGAAAUGUAAAUUAAAUUAUAAUAUUUUACCUUUUGCAUAAUGGUUUAAUAAUAUUACUAAAAAUUCAGAACCCGAAGUUAAAAGAUCUAAUUUUAUUAUUUUAUUAGAAUAAGUAUAUAAUGUUUCAAAAUUAUAUUAAUAAAUAAAAUUAGGAGUGAAAGGCCUAUCAAUUUUAAGGAUAUCUGGAAUAAUUUUAAAUGUAUUGAGUACAAAAUUAAAUUUGAAUAAAAAAAUGUUAAGAUUUUUUUAUAAUAGAAUAAUUAUUAAUAAGUAUAUGUGAAUUAAUCUUCUUACAUAAAAUUAUUUAUAUAAUUUAUUAUUAUAUAUAUCUAAUUAUUAAAAUUAUAUUGAUGUUAACUUCAAAUUAAAUUAACUAUGUUAAAAUUAGUAUAAUAAUUUUUUUUAAUUAAGGAACUCGGCAAACAUAUUAUUCAUCUGUUUAUCAAAAACAUAGUUUUAUGUAUAAAUAUAAAAUAAAACCUGCCCAGUGAUAUUAUUUAACGGCCGCAGUACCUUGACUGUGCUAAGGUAGCAUAAUAAAUUGACUUUUAAUUGGGGCCUAGAAUGAAUGGGUAUAUGAAUAAUUUCUGUCUCAAGUAAAUUUAUUUAAAGUUACUAAAAAGGUGAAAAUUCCUUUAAUAUAAAAAUAAGACGAGAAGACCCUAGGAGUUUGAAAUUUUGUUGGGGCGACAAUAUAGCAUAUAACCUAUAUAAAUUAAUAUAAAUAUAACAAAUAAUAUUAAUAGUAAUUAAACUACCCUAGGGAUAACAGCACAAUUUUUUAGUUAAGUUUGUGACCUCGAUGUUGGACUAGGAACUUUUAAUAUAACAGUAUUAAU